This 1076-nucleotide long non-coding RNA is filed under the name Linum usitatissimum (flax). RNAcentral describes it as "long non-coding RNA (LUSI_LNC002193)". The record is from RNAcentral. Lineage: Eukaryota; Viridiplantae; Streptophyta; Magnoliopsida; Malpighiales; Linaceae.
UUGCGGGCAGUAAUGAGGGUAGUGGCUGGCCGGCUCUGUGGGUCUGUGUCAACGUCAUUGGAUUUGGACAGUGGAGCCAGAUUAGGCCUCAUUGGCAACAAUCGAUGAUCAGGAACUGCAGUAGAUGUGGAAUAGCGUAGUUAGACAUUUUAACCAACCUGAUCUUGUUGGAAUACUGUUACUAAUAUCAAUGUAGAUCAUUAAGCUGAAUGAGAUCAAAAUUCAGAGAUAUAACUUAAUGGAACUUAACGUAACUAAAUGGCACUAACACGGUUAUACAGCCUAUAUAGUCAAAAUAACAACGCCAUGAAGCUUCAAAUGGUUUUUCAGUUCAACUAAUAGUAGAAAAAUCAAUCUCUCCAGCUGGGAAACUCGAUGAUUUCCCAUGAAAUGCCAAAGCAACGCAACCAUUAAUCCAAAUUCAGGAAGCAUCGGAUAUGUGAAACAAUCAAUUGUUGCGUUUUAUCAAUCAAACACGCAUAGAAUCAAACUUACACUAAAUUGAGAAUUUCCGGAGUCAACUUGACUAGCUGAUCUCUUCUUUUUUCACUUUCGUCGCUUCAAUUCCGUUCUCUGAGCUUAGAUUCGUUGCUUGGAAGACAAUCGCAGCACAAACAACGUACAACAAAUGACGGAAGAAAGAGUUUCGUCGUAGCGAUACUUCAGUAUCCACCCGACGAUUUGAUGCUCCUCGGCAUUUUUUCCAGCACCAAACUGACUGAGAAUGGAACUGGAAGCAAUUCAAUUUGGAAACUAGCAAAGGAAGACAAUGGAUCUUCGUCUGUGCUGACUCUGUUAGAAUGUGAAUCAAGAUUUCAUCAACCCUAACCGUACAGAGCUCGUCUGUGAGGCCAAAAUUGCUGAUGAUCGUGCUCCAUCUGUGGUUUUGUUUCAACCCAUUUUUACCAAACUACCCUUCAAAGCCUCCGAAACUAAAAACGGUAAAACCCUACGUAACCAGACUGACGAAAAGAGCUUCAAAGCGCGAACCAGAAAAAGGACGCACCUUUGCACCGAGCGAGAAAUGAGAAGGUGGGUCGCUAAGACUCUUCUUCAAUCGCGUUCCCUUCCAUUUC